Molecule: long non-coding RNA, 2246 nt
Organism: Homo sapiens (human)
Lineage: Eukaryota; Metazoa; Chordata; Mammalia; Primates; Hominidae
Exons: 3
Source: RefSeq, a predicted model, not a curated record
GGACGCUUCCCUGCCCUUUCUUUCUGGCAGAUGAGGCCCCUCUGCUGGUGGAGGGCAAUCAGAGGUGAGCCAACUUCCAGCUCUUUGUCUCUGCUGGGUGUCUUUGGGCCCCAGCCAAACGAUGCAGGCAUCAGUGGCUGAGUCUGAGCCACUAAGCAUCUGUAUCCCGUGUGCUAAGCACAGGGCCAGGUACAAGGUAUCUGCCCAGUUCCUACCCACCCAUUAACAGCCAGCCUGAAUAUCCUAAGAUACCGACCACCCCCUCACCUGGUUCUUAUGGCACUGGGGGCAGAUCUGCAUGAACCUUUUCCUGAUCACUCUUGUCCCCCACUCAGGACAGCCCAUCCCUCUCCUCUGCGCCCUGAGCACACCCCUCACCCUGGGGGCCCUUUCCUGCUUAUAUCUGUCUCCUUACAAGCAGGUGGGAUCCUGGAGGGAAGGGGCCACAUCAUUGUCAUCUGUCUAUUUCCUGUGUCUAGCUCAGGGCCCCUGGCACAGAGGAGGGAGAGGCUCAGGAAAUGUUUGCUAAAUUAAUAAUAAUAACACGAAUAAUAGCAAACAUAUCAUACCUGCGAUGUGCCAGGCUGUUUUAGGCAGUUGGCAUACAUUAACUUAUGUAGUCUCUACAUGGUCUGUACUAUUAUUAUUCCCAUUUUGUAAAUGAAGACACAGAAGCACAGAGGAGGGAGUAAGCAAUUUACCCAAGGUCACCCAGGCGAUAAGUGGCAAAGCCUGGAUUUGAACGAGGUGAUCUUGCUCCAGAGCUGGGCUUUACCCACCCCACUGCCCUGCCUUGAGGGAGGGAGGAGGAGUUAAGGGUUAUUUUGCCAGCCACCUUUUUGGGAAGCACCCCUUCCCUGGAGCUAUUUGUCGGCUCCAAAUCCUUUCUGAUUCACCUCUGCCUCCCCAGAAAAGGUGUUUCAAUACUCCUUGUGCAGACAAAGGGAAUGAGGCACAGAGAGGCGAGGUGACUAGCCCAAGGCACACAGCUGGCAAGUCAUGGGGCUGGGACUCAAGCCCAGGCUAUGGCCUCGCAGCUGCUCCGCCUCAGCAGCAAGGGCUGGCUCUGUCUAUCCUUUCUCCAGGUCCUAGGGAAGAGGAUGGGAUGCAAAGGAGGUUGUUUAUCCAGGAUUGAAACUGAUGAGACACUGCAGUGUGUAGGCCAAGAGGCAGACGGGCCCGGGUACACGACCGAGCAAGUCACUCAGUAUCUCUGAACCUCAGUUUCUUCUUCUAUAAAAUGCAGACAAUGAAAGGAGCCCCCAGCCCGUGUGGUUAUUGUGACAAUGAACUGAGAAUAUAUCCAAGGCACACAGCAAGGGCAGCACGCAUGGGGAUAGGCAGAGUGGCCGCCACUUUUUGUGCCAGACCUCGGGCCCCCAGGCCCAACUGCUGGUUUAGCUCAGCCCAGGGACUCGCCGAGCCGGGGCCCCAGCCCCUGCCUCCCUCUGCCAGGCAGGCCUGGCCUGUCACGCAUAAGCUGCCAAUCCCUCCGAGACCUCUGCCCGCAACAGCAACAAUAAGGGAAGAUUAUCAGCAGAAACACCCGGUGAUUUGGCUUAGCAGCUUCUGGGAAACCGAUCAGAGGAAGAAAUUGAAUUGGACUUGGCUGGCUUGACAGAUAUACUGGCUGUGGGGCUUGGGUGCCAAGUGACUCAACUGGCAGAAGGUCAUGGGUGAGGGCGGCACUCCCACAGGCUGGGCUGGGUGUGUCUCCCUGGGGGUCUGACUGCUUUGCCUGCAGAGGCCCCUGCACAGCACAGCACUGGUUGGCCAAGAGACCCCAGUCUCCGAGGCGGGGAGGCUGUGGCUGGGGGAAGUUCUCCAGGGCUCCUAGGGAAAACAGCUGUGAGGACCAGCAGGCAAAGGGGUAGAGCAUGGAGUGGAAGUGACAACAGCAGAGGCACAGAGUCCAGGGAAAGGUUUCUGAGCCAUCCAGGGGAUUUGCUUUCUUCUGCUGAUGGGAGAGAUGGAAUAAAACCUGCCUGCUGGAGGGGGAAGCAGAAGGGACCCAUGGCUGACAGCAUACAUCCUCCACGCACUCAGUGGGGAAUGAAGCUGCCACUGCCCCAAGACACAGGCUGGAGACAAGGCAGUUUUGGCCAAACCCUCUUCAACUCCAGUAGCUGGGAAAGAGCUGGCCACCCCUGGUAGUGAGGAAUGGGGUGCAAGAGCCAGGAAGACUCAGGUGAAAAGCCACGCUCCAUCUGUGGCAAUGUGAACAGGAGUAAGGGACUCGAGCUCCA